UACUAAUUUUUGAUUUACAUUAAAAAUUUUUUAAGAAAUUACAUACAUGGAAUUAAUGAAGUUAUUAGGUUAAUAAAUUUUACCUUUUGUAUAAUGGUUACACCAUAAAUUUAUAAUAUUAUAUUUCCCGAAUUGCGAAGAGCUAUCUAUUAACUUUGCUUAGAAUUUAUAGGUUAUGUUGAAAUAUGGCCUUAAGAUUAGUAGAUAGGAGCGAAAAACUUUCAAUUCUCAAGAUACCUGGUAGUCUUAGAAAAGCAUGUAGUGCUGAAAAAUUAUAUAUGAAGUGAUGAGGCUUUAUAUUAAUAGAAUUUAAGAUGUAUAUAAUUAAUUUCUAGAGUUAACCCUAUUGAAAUUUUUUAUUAAAAAUAUUUAUUUCUUAAUUAUCUAUAGAUUAUAAGACUUUUCUAUAUAAUUUGAUUUAGAAUUAAUAAUGUGUAAAUAAGUAGUAAAAUAAAAUAUUUUAUCAUAUUAUAAAAUUAAUUUAACGUUUUAAUUAUUUUUAAAAAUAAAUAAAAGGAAUUCGGCAAUUAUAAACUUCGACUGUUUAACAAAAACAUAGCCUUAGGAAAUAAUCUAAGGUUAUACCUGCCCAAUGUGAAAAUUUUAAUGAAUGGCCGCGGUACUUUGACCGUGCUAAGGUAGCGCAAUCAAUUGGUUUUUAAUUGGAGCCAGGAAUGAAUGGAGUUACGGGGUUUAACUGUCUCUUAUUUAAUUUAUCGAAAUUACUAUAUAGGUGAAAAAGCCUAUAGCUAGAAAAAAGACGAGAAGACCCUUAGAGUUUUACUAAAAUUGAGUUAAUUUCUCAUAACAGUUUAGUUGGGGCAACGUAGGAGCAUUAAAAGUUAAUCUCCUUAAAAUAAUUUAUCGAUUAUUUUAGUAUUGAAUAAACUACCUUAGGGAUAACAGCAUAAUUUUAUUAAUAAGUUUGUGACCUCGAUGUUGGACUGGGAAACUUAAUGGUUAGCCGCCUUUAAGGUAAGUUCUGUUCGAACUAUAAUUCCCACAUGAUCUGAGUUCAGACCGGCGUAAGCCAGGUCAGAUUCUAUCUUUUUAUUUUAAAAGCUUAGUACGAAAGGACCAGUUUUUAGUAUUAUUUAUAUAUA
Molecule: ribosomal RNA, 1103 nt
Filed under: Polycera hedgpethi
Lineage: Eukaryota; Metazoa; Mollusca; Gastropoda; Nudibranchia; Polyceridae
Description: 16S ribosomal RNA
Rfam family: Bacterial large subunit ribosomal RNA
Source: RNAcentral